CCUUUCUUCCUUUUGGUGCGAGCUUGCUGUGGUUUUUGCUCUGGGUCCUCUGGGAUGGCGCCUGGCUGUGGCCGCGUGGUCUCUCACGCAGGGGCGCCGGGCGGGGGAACGCGGCCACCCUGAGUCUGGUGGAAGAUGGAUGCCUGAAGUGUAGACUGCUGCUAGCUGAAUACCAUCUGGGAGCAUAAAGGUGACCUGAAGGAUGUCCUUGGUGAGGAUUUUGAAAAUUUGAUCUUCACAAGAGUUGCCUGGAUCAUUUGAAAUUUCUGGGAGUCUGAGGAGUACUGACAUAAUUACCUGCUGGAGUCUGUAAAUACACAUUUAAGACAGUGAGGAUGUGAAUAAAUAUAUUAAUGCACUUUGGCA
Molecule: long non-coding RNA, 366 nt
Filed under: Homo sapiens (human)
Lineage: Eukaryota; Metazoa; Chordata; Mammalia; Primates; Hominidae
Source: RNAcentral